CCCUCCAUGGCUUAGAUGGUAAAGAAUCUGCCUGCAAUGCAGAAGACUGGGGUUUGAUCCCUAUGUUGGGA
Molecule: transfer RNA, 71 nt
Filed under: Ovis aries (sheep)
Lineage: Eukaryota; Metazoa; Chordata; Mammalia; Artiodactyla; Bovidae
Rfam family: tRNA
About the family: Transfer RNA (tRNA) molecules are approximately 80 nucleotides in length. Their secondary structure includes four short double-helical elements and three loops (D, anti-codon, and T loops).
Source: Rfam by way of RNAcentral